This 571-nucleotide long non-coding RNA is filed under the name Nicotiana benthamiana. RNAcentral's name for it is "long non-coding RNA (NBEN_LNC040487)". The record is from RNAcentral. Lineage: Eukaryota; Viridiplantae; Streptophyta; Magnoliopsida; Solanales; Solanaceae.
AAAUCUGCAAAAUUCAAAUAAAUUCUUAGAAGUCUAGAGAGCUCAAAAACUCUAAAAAUUUCAAAAUGUAGAUCCAAAUAAUACUGAAAAACCUAUGAAAAAGUCAAAAAUUCUGGUAGAAGUAGAUAGUCUAGAUACAAAACAUUAGAUCCUAUAAAUAGAAAUCCUGAAAAAUCAACAAAAAUAUUGUAUAAAAUCCUUGCCAGAUAUGUUUUUGUUCAACUGCAAUGGUUCCUCAAGCUGGUUUUUCAAAUCCAGCUAGUGUAUGUGGUUAGUUGAAGUUCCUUUGAAGUCAACUGCAUCCUGUUCCUUUUUCUGGAUUUUUGGUGCUCAAUUUGUGAACGGUUUGCUGCUGGUUUUAGUUGCUGAUUAUUGCAUGCUGCUGCUGGCUUAUCCUUCUCUUUAUUUUUUUUCGAAUUCCUGGUAUUUCUUAGCCUCAAAUGAUAUAUUAGAAUUGAGUCAUAUGUAUGAUCCAAAUUGGAAAGAGAAAUGAAGCGCAAGCUGUUUUUUCUCUUCUACUUUACCUAAGUGAUAAUGCAUUUCACAUUUGUAUCCAUUUGAACUUCAUAAU